UUUCCGUAGGUGAACCUGCGGAAGGAUCAUUAUUGUAUAACCGAGGUGCGAGGGCUGUCGCUGACCCGAAAGGUCGUGCACGCCCGAGUGCCCUCACACACAUCCAUCUUACCCCUGUGUGCACCACCGCGUGGGUCCCCCUUUGGCUUGUUCGGAGGGGGGCUUACGUUUUCACACAAACUUUGUAUGCAGUGUAGAAUGUAUUUUUUGUUUUUGCGAUCACGCAAUCAAUACAACUUUCAACAACGGAUCUCUUGGCUCUC
Molecule: unclassified non-coding RNA, 263 nt
Filed under: plant metagenome
Description: partial contains small subunit ribosomal RNA, internal transcribed spacer 1, and 5.8S ribosomal RNA
Source: RNAcentral